This 246-nucleotide ribosomal RNA is filed under the name uncultured bacterium. RNAcentral's name for it is "partial 16S ribosomal RNA". It matches the Rfam family "Bacterial small subunit ribosomal RNA", at positions 15 to 235 of the family's 1533-position model. The record is from RNAcentral.
GAUCAUGGCUCAGGACGAACGCUGGCGGCGUGCUUAGCACAUGCAAGUCGAACGAGAGGACAAGAGAAGCUUGCUUCUUUUGAAAUCGAGUGGCAAACGGGUGAGUAACACGUAAACAACCUGCCUUCAGGAUGGGGAUAACAGACGGAAACGACUGCUAAUACCGAAUACGCUUGGGAGACCGCACGAUCUUCCAAGGAAAGGGUGGCCUCUACCUGUAAGCUAUCGCCUGAAGAGGGGUUUGCG